RNAcentral lists this ribosomal RNA (307 nucleotides) under uncultured eukaryote. RNAcentral's name for it is "partial 18S ribosomal RNA". It matches the Rfam family "Eukaryotic small subunit ribosomal RNA", at positions 1470 to 1796 of the family's 1831-position model. The record is from RNAcentral.
CCCUUAGACGUUCUGGGCCGCACGCGCGCUACACUGACACAGGCAACGAGCUACUCUUCACCGAAAGGUGUGGGUAAUCUUUUGAAACUUUGUCGUGCUGGGGAUAGAUCCUUGCAAUUUUUGAUCUUAAACGAGGAAUUCCUAGUAAGCGCAAGUCAUCAACUUGCGUUGAUUACGUCCCUGCCCUUUGUACACACCGCCCGUCGCUACUACCGAUUGAAUGGUUUAGUGAGGCCUUCGGAUCCGCGACUCGUUUGUGGAGAAGUUGGACAAACUCAGUCAUUUAGAGGAAGUAAAAGUCGUAACA